GAAAUGCGAUAAGUAGUGUGAAUUGCAGAAUUCAAUGAAUCAUCGAAUCUUUGAACGCACAUUGCGCCCCUCGGUAUUCCGUGGGGCAUGCCUGUUCGAGCGUCAUCUACACCCUCAAGCUCUGCUUGGUGUUGGGCGUCUGUCCCGCCUCCUUCGCGCGCGGACUCGCCCCAAAUCCAUUGGCGGCGGCCCUUGCCUCCCUCUCGCGCAGCACAUUGCGCUUCUCGAGGCGCGGCGGACCGCGUCCAGCAAGCAACCGUCACACCGUCUUUGACCUCGGAUCAGGUAGGGAUACCCGCUGAACUUAAGC
RNAcentral lists this unclassified non-coding RNA (310 nucleotides) under plant metagenome. RNAcentral describes it as "partial contains 5.8S ribosomal RNA, internal transcribed spacer 2, and large subunit ribosomal RNA". The stretch from base 1 to 105 matches the Rfam family "5.8S ribosomal RNA", at positions 50 to 154 of the family's 154-position model. The record is from RNAcentral.